UACAGACCGUACAGAUGAGCUUAUUUCGUAUGGCCAGAAUCACACACCCGACCGGAUGGGCUAUGAGAUGUUGCCCCCCGAUUUCCCUGAUCGGGUCCCACUGUUGCUGGUGAAGAUCUGUCCGUACAGUCAGCGGAUCUGAGGAUGAGAGAGGUUUGGAUCUGUAAUGACUGCAGUGGGAGCACCGAUACCUGCUUAAAGUAGCCCCAGUCUGUGCCUACCUAAGUGAGGAGUGAUGAAUCCUCCUCUCCAGUUCCUUAAUAACAAAGUCUGCCUUCCUUUCAGCUCCUCGCAUACCUACUCACUUGAAACCUUGGUUUAACCCGUCCUACCAUUGGUCACUGUAUUGACUUGAUCGUGAGGCUCCCAGAGAGGCUUUAAUUGAAUUUGCAGCUGAAGAAAUAGAUCUGGAGGGACAGAAAGAGAGAUGAUGCUGGGGCAGUGGAAAAAGCUUUGAGGAGACGAGUUGCCUCCGGGGAAUAUGAAGGCACGAAAGUUGCUUUGAUUCACGGAAACCAGAGAGAGGCUGAGAGCGGUGAAAUGAGCUGUAGACCAGAACAAGUCUCUAAGGCGGUUCAGAAAACUUGGGUUUAAUUUAGAGAGGAGUUUUGAACAACAGCUUAAAUCAGAGGCACCAGGCAAUGUUGUUUUAGGGGACGUUUCCAGUGAGCGGCUUAGCAGAGCCGUGGAAGGGUUUUGGAGGGAAGCUGGGUGAAAAGCAACGCUUAACGAACCAGAAACCGGGAAUUAGAAUUGGUUCCUCAAAACCAGGAGGGACCAAUACAAGAUGGGUGAUGCAACACAGGAGCACCAUGAAGCAAGCCAUUUGCCCUGCUUCUUGAGCCAGAGUUGUAGCACUCAGCCUGGGCACAGACCUGACUUACCUCCGCUAUGAAGAGUCACUUGAGCACAAUGUCUGCAAACUCAACCACCUUCUCAUUGCUACGCUUCCUGAAUCCUGAAUAAAGGAGAAAAAAAAGUGGUGACACAAUCCUACAGGAUUGCUCGCUGUGAAAGCUAAGAUAAACUUGGCCCACGUUACAUCAUCCAUCCUUUGGGUAUACUGCAGAAAUCACUCCAGCUCUCUUCAGCACCCUGGGCAGCACGUGGACUUCUAAUUGUAGGUUGCUGGCUCCUGACACUGCCAUGCCUUAAUUCCGCCAGCCCCAUGAGAAGAUUAUGCUCGUGAGAUGCUGACCCCUUCCUGCUGGUGCCCUGCCUGAAGAUCUCCUGGCCCUCGUGUUCACUGCUAGGCCCACGGAGAUCGAGAGGCUCUGGGAGGUGUCUUGGACAAGCCCAUUGUUUGGGCUGUGACACCAUGCUGCCAAUUAAUCUUAAUUAAUUAGUAAAUCACAGCUAGCAUUUACUGUUGUGAGUAAGCUCAACUGUUCACAAUAGGUAGUUGCACUGCCAGCCCCAAUAAUCAGGUGGCAGAUUCACCAAAAUCAAGAGCUCAUUGUAAGGAUGAUGAUAUUUUAUGGAAAAGAUUAGUAAUGAAUGGGUGUUCGUGUGCAUUUCUGCUUUGUCUCCUUGACUGUUUAAAUUUCCUUACUAAUUUUUUUUUUCAAAUUGCAGGCCCCCAAGAAUCAUGUUUACAAGAAAUGAAAUAUUAAUAUACUUAGAAGAGAAAAAUCGAUUUGAUCUGUACAAACUAUUGUGACUGCAAGGGCUGGGAUUUUUCAGAAUACCAAGCAAUGCCAUGGAAGUCCCUCCAAAGUUGGAAGCAGCCAUGGUGAGCUGGCACACGAGUGGUCCUGAGCUUGCACACGGCACCGCGAGGGAUCUGUUCCCCUGGGGAAGAAGCGAAGGGAGGAGGACAAAGAUUACAGUGUUAAGAUCAUGCUGUUGCUAUGCUGCCUACCCGCCCAUCAGUGCAUUUCUUCGCCAUCCUCCCACAGACACUCGUCUGACUCCUGCCCCUGCAGCUGGUGCAUGCCUGGCGUCUCCUGACCUGGGCUGGCUCUCGCCUGCAGUUCUCCUGCAGGUGGAGAGGAAAUGCAUUGGCAUUUCCUGCAACAGCCUUCUUGAGGUUGGAGGUAUUAAAUCACAGAAACUUUUUGAGGGAUCGUGGCAAAGCUGGUCUGUGACAAUGUGACAAGGAAAUUCGAUCAGAGGACAUGGAGAUUAUAGGAUAGACUAGACUGAGCAGAGGAUGCAAGCAGCUGCUUACUGGAAAGAGACACCGUGAACAAGGGCAUCUGAAGACGACACCGCAGGUGGUAAGGAAUAGAGAAGUCUGGAGCCCAGAUCACGGAGGAAGCAGUGUUAAACAAACUGUCACCCAGCAUUUGUCAUCAAUGUUAACCUGGUAACCAGGCAACUGAGAGAUAUGUAAGAAGCUCACUGCUUCAUCCAGAGUGAAGGGAUGUGUUUGGAGGAGAUGAGAAAGGGCUUAAGAGCUCUCUGAUUCACGGGAUCAGCAACCCAUCAUCAGGGGCUGUCGGGCUGGCAAGCAGGACACACUCACACACGUGCUGACUUUAUAGGAUAGAUUAAGGGUGAGGCAGGAAAGCAUGGAAAUGAAGGGAAGAAAUCAGCACAAAUGGGAACUGUACCAAAGAGCUGAAGCUUCAAUUAUUGCUGUCAUUAGUUACCUCUCAACAAUUCCUGUAGUUGUCCCAACUGCAGUAUUUCACAUUGGUUUACUGCAUUCCCUCUACCUCUCCAGGGAUGUGCAUCCAGUGUGUCUCUGUGAAGCUUUGUUCUCAGCUACAGGACAUAUUCAGCCCCACGUAUCAUCCCUCCACUGCCCAGAGACCACAUCGGACAUCAUCAGCUUCAACAGAGGGAAGGAGAGCCACCAGACACCAAACAGCAGCAGGUGGGGAUGGAGGAAUAAAGAUGUUGAAAAGAACUGUUGACAUCCAGAGACCGGUUUGUCUUUGCAGACAGGAGACCUUUUAGUUGGACUGGUUUCAUACAGAGAAUGGUUUGAAGGUCCUGUACAAGAGAAGAGAAGUUUGGCAGGAAACAGAAAGCUGCGUACAGGUGAGAUGAAAUCAGGAAUGCGUGGCACAUGAAGAGACAUGGAAGGGUCUGGGGACAGAGGAAGGGGUUUGGAGAAGGGGUAGGGUGAAGGGGGAGAUGAAAGGGUUGUUAACACCCUGCGUGCAUCCUGAAAGGAGAACGCAGCACUCAAAAUUUGGCUUUCCCACUCACCCGGCCGUGUGAGCAGAGGGUGUGCAGAGUUCCUCGCUGCCAUCUCUCUGUGCAGAGCAGGAAGGAGGCACUCUACACACCAUGGCCUUCUGUUACGGGCUUAAUGAUAAAGUUGGCUGAAGCUGAACUAUUUUCAUUAUAACAGCCUGUGAAUUCAUUUCCCUGCGUUUCAGCCCAAUCCAUUUUUUUCUGCUUGACAUUAAGGAAGCUCUGCUGCAGCAGGCAAUCCAGUAGAGAGCGAUAACAGGAUUGGAAAGGAGAGGCGGUCACCCAAGGUCAGCAGAAGCCUUUGGCUGCCAGUGCCAGGGUGGCUCAGCAAAGGUCACCGCAAAUGGGCAGAGACGUCUGUUUUGCAAAAGGCUGCUCAGCAUACACAGUGGGCCGGGCCCAAGUCAUCAGGGGGGAUUCAGUUAUGCGUCUGGCACCCAGAGAAGCAAGGGAUGCUGAUGUCUGCACUUGGUCAGGAGGAGACAAAGCUCAGCAAAGAAGACAAUGCAGCUGUGACUGUCAUGUUGGCUUUGCUUCAUUUACGGUGCCUGUUAAUUAUACGAGGCUUGUGUUGGGAACAGCUGGCAAGUUCCCUCCUUCUGUCCCGCUUCUGCAUGCACUGGGUCGGUUGUGUUCUUCUCGGGAUUUAAAAGUGCCAGGACUGGGAGGGAUUUGUUAACUGACUCUUUGCCACAAAGGUGACUCAAGUCAGACCCAGGAGGUCCAUGGAGCUGGAUGCCAGUCAGCUGGUCCUGACCUCUCUUCUUCGUUCCUCUCGUUGUGUGUCCGGGCACCAGUUCUCAUUCUGCUUCUGGUUGUGCCACUCCCCAGUUUUAAACUGAGCUGUGAAACAAUUUCAUUUCAAACCAUACAAGCUGACCAAAGGAAAAGAAGGAAAAAAAUAAUUUCAGAUAUGGCUGCUACAAACCUAGAUCCUCCACAUUGUAUAUAGUUUAGUGGUUUUGCCUUUUAAAGGUUUGGAAUUGCUAGAGCCAUGGGGGGAAACAAUUCAGAAGUUUAAGGCACAGAACUUUUGUUACUCCCUCUAACUCAGGAGAGGUUAUAUUUGUUAGGCAGUGGUGCAUUAGUUACAGGAGGGCUCACUUUCAGAAAA
Molecule: long non-coding RNA, 4261 nt
Organism: Cygnus olor (mute swan)
Lineage: Eukaryota; Metazoa; Chordata; Aves; Anseriformes; Anatidae
Exons: 6
Source: RefSeq, a predicted model, not a curated record